GAGAGAACGGGAUAGAUCAAAGGCAAAUAUUCCCACGAAAAAUAUAAAUUCAAUAAUUGAACUUUUAGAUUGAUUUACUACAAAUUUCUCUCUCUUCAAUAUUUGCUUUCGAUAUGUUGAAACUAGCAAAUUAAUAACAUGGGAAUAGUUAGGCAUAAAACCUAGGUUUUUUUUUAGAGGGUGCAUUUGCUAACGCAUGGGUUGGGAAUCUCUUAAUUAUAUUUAACUUUUCAAACUAACUUCAAAAUCACUAGAUUAACACACCAUCAUGAAAUAUCGUUUAUCGAGCC
Molecule: long non-coding RNA, 290 nt
Filed under: Prunus persica (peach)
Lineage: Eukaryota; Viridiplantae; Streptophyta; Magnoliopsida; Rosales; Rosaceae
Description: long non-coding RNA (PPER_LNC007559)
Source: RNAcentral